Molecule: ribosomal RNA, 467 nt
Filed under: uncultured bacterium
Lineage: Bacteria
Description: partial 16S ribosomal RNA
Rfam family: Bacterial small subunit ribosomal RNA
Source: RNAcentral
GACGAACGCUGGCGGCGUGCUUAACACAUGCAAGUCGAACGGAAAGGCCCUGCUUUUGUGGGGUGCUCGAGUGGCGAACGGGUGAGUAACACGUGAGUAACCUGCCCUUGACUUUGGGAUAACUUCAGGAAACUGGGGCUAAUACCGGAUAGGAGCUCCUGCUGCAUGGUGGGGGUUGGAAAGUUUCGGCGGUUGGGGAUGGACUCGCGGCUUAUCAGCUUGUUGGUGGGGUAGUGGCUUACCAAGGCUUUGACGGGUAGCCGGCCUGAGAGGGUGACCGGCCAAAUGGGGAUGGGGAAACGGCCCAGACUCCUAGGGGGGGAAGGGGGGGGGAAUAUUGCACAAUGGGCGGAAGCCUGAUGCAGCAACGCCGGGGGGGGGAUGACGGCCUUCGGGUUGUAAACCGCUUUCGCCUGUGACGAAGCGGGGGUGACGGUAAUGGGAAAAGAAGCACCGGCUAACUACGU